UACAGAGGUCCCAAGCGUUGUUCGGAUUCAUUGGGCGUAAAGGGUGCGUAGGUGGCGUCGUAAGUCGGGUGUGAAAUCUCGGGGCUUAACUCCGAAACUGCAUUCGAUACUGCGGUGCUUGAGGACUGGAGAGGAGACUGGAAUUUACGGUGUAGCAGUGAAAUGCGUAGAGAUCGUUAAGGAAGACCAGUGGCGAAGGCGGGUCUCUGGACAGUUCCUGACACUGAGGCACGAAGGCCAGGGGAGCAAACGGG
RNAcentral lists this ribosomal RNA (254 nucleotides) under uncultured bacterium. Its description in RNAcentral is "partial 16S ribosomal RNA". It matches the Rfam family "Bacterial small subunit ribosomal RNA", at positions 524 to 776 of the family's 1533-position model. The record is from RNAcentral.